This is a non-coding RNA of Triticum urartu, 2248 nucleotides long. The record is from RefSeq and is a predicted model, not a curated record. Lineage: Eukaryota; Viridiplantae; Streptophyta; Magnoliopsida; Poales; Poaceae.
UCACAUCCGUCUAUCUAUCUCUGUAUGGUGUGGAUACACUGGCUAAAACGUGUUUGAUCUAAAACACACUUGUUUAACAACCUCCACCACACCCCGCGCCUAUCUCUUCUUCCUCCCAUCGAGGCAGUUACGCACAAUCCCCACGACCCAACAACGACUCUCACCCAUCGCUACCUCCCAAGGCGGACUCCACACCUGCUGCGACGCGCACCCGCGCCGCGCUGCCCAUCUCACCCAUCGCUUCCUCCCCCGGUGGACUGGAGCAACCGCCGUUGUGCAUCCCAGGAAGCAGGAGUCGCCGUGUCCCAGGCCUCGUGCGCCCGCUGCGCCGUCGGUCCCGUGCCGCCCCCGUGCCCCAUCGUUCUAUCACCUACCGCCCCCUCCUCUCCCCCUCACUGCCUGCCCCGCGCUCUCCCUUUCCCUUCAACGAAUUUCAAGCACGCGGCCGUCGCCCAGAUCGCGGAACCUUGAGCAAGGAGCCGUCGCCCACAUCGCCUAACCUCGAGCAAGCGGCCGUCGCCCACAUCGCCUGACCUCGAGCAAGCGGCCACCGCUCACAUCGAGAAAGAGUGCAAGACAACCACGACGUCCAGCCGCGACCACGAGUAUUUCGUCACCCACCGCCGAUAAUUUACCGGCAUAUGAAGCAUUGAAGCUGGAAGUCAUGUGAUCAAAGUAGGUUAUAGCUGUCUACUUUUGAAAAUCAUAGCAUUUAUCAGCUUGUUUUACGAUUAUUUCGGAUUGGGAUGAUUGGGUUGUCAUCAUGAUUCAUAGGAGGAUAAGCACCAGCGACGAGUAACUGGGAAGGAGAGGCUGAUACUUGAGAUAGGUUCUACGAUGAUACUGGAGAAUAGCAUGGAUUAAUCUUCAAAUCCUACUAGGCAGCGCUUCACCAUGAAUGGCUACAAUGGCAGCGGAAUGGAGGAGCUCAGUGUGUUCUGUAAGAUGGCUGUGUGGUAUGUGGAGUGAAGAUGCAUCUACCGUCAGUUUCUUAAUUAAUGAGGACACCUUUACCUGGUGGCGCUACCGGUGCCCAAAUAUCUCAUUUCUCUUGAUUAUAUAGUGAAAGCAAUUCACUUCGAUUAUCUCAUGAAGGGCAAACCUAACAACGUUCGAUGCAAUGAAGUGAAUAAGGGAGGAAGAGCUCAAGGGAACAAAGGGUAGAAGAAUAUACAAAUAUACAAACUGACCUGUUAGGAGUGGCUUCACAAAAACUCAGGUCUAAUUUUUUUGGAUGAUGCACGUUAAUGGAGUUUUUCGUUUAUUCACUUCGUUCCAAAAUACUCAUUAGCAGCAAUGCAAAGCUUUUGAUUAGAGCAAAGCUAUACAACCAAGGAAAUUGGAUUUCCUUUCCGUUGAUGUACAUAUUUUACUGUCCCUAAUCUUUCUCCUGGCCCAAUAUAUUUGCAGAUGUCUAUGUCUUUGUGAUCUUUGUGGAGGCUGCUUAUCUCACAGUUUUUUCUGUCUAUCCCGCCUAGGAAAAUAGAUUGUACAUUAUUAAUUUAGUCCAACAAUACGAGUAACAUGCCUGCCUACUGUAGUUAUUUUUGACAAUCUGAUAUGUUCACACAUCAUUACAAGGUUCCUUAAAACUACCUUUGUAGAUAUUUCAAACCAAGGUCUAGGAGUAUUCAGCCGAUCAUACUUUCAGACCAGUAGAGAAUGUGAAAAAAAAAAUGUAUUUAGGCUUACUAACUACUAUUAACAAACAAUAUGGUUCUCAUAUGAAUGUGUGUAACUUUAUUCUAUUCAUCAGUGUGUAAUUCACAAGAGAACUGUGCAAUGAGGUUCUUGUCAUACUGGUGAGGAUAGUGUACUAUUCCCAUAUUGUUUUGCUCAAUAUUUUAGCACUGGACCCUUCUUGUUUUGUGCAACAACUAACACUCUUUCUCGCCACUACGGCCAUGAAACUUCAACUAUUCUUCUGUUUGCAGCAGAUGGUCUCUUUGAUGGUUGGAGUCACCAUCUUGGCUUGGUACCAUGCACAACAGUCCCAUGGAAUCUAUCAUCGCCUUAAUGGCUACUAGAGCCGGUGUAGUGUGGUGAAGGCACUGUCAAUGAAGAGAAAAAAGAUUGUCGUCGAGUUGUUGUGCAAGGAUUCUCCGAUUGCUACGAACAUUAUUACAGUUUACAAGAUUUUGAUAAAGAUAUACAUUUUAUAUUUAGAGAAGAUAUGUAAUAAGUCCUUCUAUGUACCCUAAGUAGUUGCCCGUUGUACUGAAAGUUCUGAAAUUUUCUAUUUUCAACA